UUUAGAAUUUGAAUCCUGUGUUUCUGUAUUUUAACAAAUUUCCCAUCCAAUUGUAAAUCCCUCCAGUUGAACAGUUUACUAUACCUGAUUUCUUGAAUUAGUGUGCUAUUAAACCAGACCGAUUAAUUCGUUGUAUCACAUUUGGUAAUUAGGAACUGCAUUCAGUGUUCACAAAACACGUAGUAAUAACAACGAUUCAAAGAGAAGAGAAAACUAGUUGCUUAAUUGAGGAAAAAUUCCAGAGAAAAAUUAUCAGUCCUGAUUCGGAUCUAGAAUAAUCAGUUGUAAGCUCCAUGAGAAGUUAAAUUAUCGAUCGUCGAUCGAUGAAUCUAACAGAGGCCACAGAACAAGUAGUCAAACAAAGUCUCUGUGCAAUCGUAGACGCAUGAACAACUGGUAUUAAGUGAUAGUUAGAAUUAACAUAAUCGAAAUUAGUGAAAUCAAAUGAAAAUAGCAAUACGAUAUACCAGGUAUCGAUGAUAUUAUCUUGUGAAUCAUCCUCUGGAGGAUUGUUUGUGCUUGUUGUGGUCUCCAUGGCUUCAACUUGAGGUGCUUCCAUCUCUCGCUUUACACACAGGGAAUUAGAAUUAUGUGUUUGAGAAGAAGGCGACUGCAGUGAAGAUUUGGUAGGUGGGAUGUAGACUAUAGAAUCAGAAAAUUGGUACUUAGAAUUGGGUAUUUGGGUCUGUGUUGAGUGGCUGCAAGUUAAAUAGGUAUGUAGAUUGUGGAGUCAAUGCAAUGAAAUGCCUACCUAAUUUGAAACCGAAGUUUCGCGGAUGACAUUCUGGGUGGCUGCACAGCACCGUGGAAAGUGGAAACUAGUGGGGCUAUUUAAUUUUUUAGAGCAUGUCAACUAGCCAUUAAAAAGGAGAUAAAUAACAAAAAUAACCGUCUAUAUCAUUUUUAGAAAAAUGACUUGUCAUGAAAUAUUUUGGAAGAGUUAUUGAGUUCAUGAGAUUUGACGUAAAGGUAAUGAUAUAUGAAAUUAGAUUCAUUCCAAUGAAAAAUGACAUAAAUUUUGUGAGGUCA
Molecule: long non-coding RNA, 1029 nt
Filed under: Lactuca sativa (garden lettuce)
Lineage: Eukaryota; Viridiplantae; Streptophyta; Magnoliopsida; Asterales; Asteraceae
Description: long non-coding RNA (LSAT_LNC001791)
Source: RNAcentral